Molecule: long non-coding RNA, 878 nt
Organism: Oncorhynchus gorbuscha (pink salmon)
Lineage: Eukaryota; Metazoa; Chordata; Actinopteri; Salmoniformes; Salmonidae
Exons: 2
Source: RefSeq, a predicted model, not a curated record
AACUUGCCAACGGCCUUUGAUCAGCAGGGACUAAAAACACCUAUAGGUACGGCGGCCAUCCUGCUACAGCCUCUCCUAAUGGCCUGACGGACAGAGCAGGGUUGUCCUUGCCCUCUGUAACUCCCUCCCUCCCGAGACGUGGCUGGAGCUGGGCACUGUCUGCACGUCCUGUCCACCCAGGAAAGGGCCGGCUUUGAGCGCCUGUCGUCAGAGGCUACCGGGUGUCCUGUGUCACCAGAUGGGCCAAGCUCCCUGUCAAGGACAAAAUGUAUCCGUUGGAGGGAGAGAGGAAUAUUGCAAGGUACACAGAAGAGCCGAUGGGAGUGAACACCCUCACAACAUUGCUGCUAAAGUCCUGCAAAAUAGCUGGCCCGUCGCAGAUUUACACAAACCACUGCCUCCGAACCACCAUGAUCCGGAAACUGUUGGAUGCUUGACCAGAGGCACGAGAAAUACUGUCUAUCAGAGGACACAGAUUCACAACGUCUCUUCAAAGUUACUGGAGGCCAAAUCUGGAAGUGAGGAAGCACCGUUCUUCAACAACACAGCAGCUCCCCCCCCCCCCCAGCUACAAGAACGGCAUCCAUUUCCAGCAGCGUGGAGCCAACACGACAACAUGGGAAAGCCAACAACAACCAUUUUUUCAUUUGUGCACAAUUAAAUGGCAACACUCAGAUCAACAUUAAUAAAUAAUUGGAAUGUGUUAGUCACUCUAGAAGUGGCGAUAAUGCUUUUUUUGCAUACAUUUAAUGUAAGCUUGCUAGCUAGCUUGUGAUUAUGUUUCAUAGCAACCAGUCUAGCAAUAAGACUUGUCUGGACUACUUCAGGCAAAAUGUAUUUAUUUUGAAUUAUUAUUAAAGCAACAUUUUCAAUCUAGA